RNAcentral lists this long non-coding RNA (8877 nucleotides) under Eucalyptus grandis. RNAcentral describes it as "long non-coding RNA (EGRA_LNC002262)". The record is from RNAcentral. Lineage: Eukaryota; Viridiplantae; Streptophyta; Magnoliopsida; Myrtales; Myrtaceae.
CAGGAAACAAUUUCACAACCAAUCACUUACAUAAACCAACGAAGUUACAAAUGAAGGCCUACAGCCGAAAGUCUACAAAAGACCGGCUCUUAAAAAGGAAUUGUCCUACGACCUACAAGUCGGACACGUUCUCCAAUCUUAUGCCUUCACCUCUGCAACUCCUCAAGGCCAACCAAAGCUAUCUGGCCACUCCGUCCAUCAGGGACCUGAAAUUUUAAUCCCACAACCGGGAUGAGACGAUGUCUCAGCAAGUUCAACCCCCUAAACCCCUAUUAGAAAGAAAAUACACCCCGGGUGGCCUAGCCACGUCACUCAGAAGACUUACCUCGUCUUAAUUCCUUCCUGCAGAUUAGCACAAUUUAUAUCACAAAAUCUCGGGUAGUAAUAAUAAUUCAAACAAUUGGAAAGCCAUCACUUUCAUAUAAAUCAUAAUCGCACUUAGCACGCAUUCCAAUUAUUAUUCAUUGCCACACGACGGCAUAGCCUACUCGCGGGUCGACUAUCUACUAACAUUACGGCAUUUCUAAAAGAAUAAAGGUCCAGUCGGUCUCGCCACUACUGCGACCAAGCCACGUCGUUCUAUCGACAGCAUUUCUAGAGAAAUAAAGGUCCAGUCGGUCUCGCCACUACUGCGACCAAGCCACGUCGUUCUAUCGACAGCAUUUCUAGAGAAAUAAAGGUCCAGUCGGUCUCGCCACUACUGCGACCAAGCCACGUCGUUCUAUCGACAGCAUUUCUAGAAAAAUAAAGGUCCAGUCGGUCUCGCCACUACUGCGACCAAGCCACGUCAUUCUCUUGACAGCAUUUCUAGAAGAAUAAGGAUCCAGUCGGCUUAGCCACUACUGCGACCCGAGCCACGUCACUCUCUUGACGGCAUUUCUAGAAGAAUAAGGAUCCAGUCGGCCUAGCCACUGCUGCGACCCGAGCCACGUCACUCUCUUGACGGCAUUUCUAGAAGAAUAAGGAUCCAGUCGUCCUAGCCACUACUGCGACCCGAGUCUUUCAACCAGCACACAACAAUUCAAUAAUCAAAUGCACAAAUCAUCACUCAAUUUGUAAUAUCUAAUCAUCAAAUUCAUAAUCUGAAUACACUGCAGCGAUCAGCACAAAAUUCUGAGAAUUUAGGGUCCCAAAAUAAUUUUCGGAAUUUAUUUAAUAAUUAAGUUUAUUUCGAAAAUUAAUUAAAUAAUAAUAUCCUUAUCCUUCACAAUCCACACUCGAUUUAUAAUCUCCAAUCAUCAAUUUCAAAAUCUGACUACACAGCAGCGACCGGUACGAAAUUCUGAGCAAUCGAGGUUAAAAUUAAUUUUUUUUCCGUUUUUAUUUAUUUAUAAUAAUAUUUUAAUAAUUUCGGAAUAUAAUAUAAUAUUAUAAAUUCCAGAAUUCGAAAUCAUUAAUUAAUUCAAAAAUAAAACCCCAUUAUGUCACAUCAAGGCUUUAUAUUAAAAAUAAACAUACUUAACUUUAAAUUAACCACACUUUAACUUAAUUAAACACCUUAAUCUAAUCAUCAACCAAAUAAACUAAUCUAACCACCUAAACUUACUUAACUUAGACUAAGCACACUUAGGGCAUCAUUAACCGUCUAAUCAAGGUUUAGUGAGUUAAACUCACCGGAUUAGCGAACCGAGUGAACCAAAACGACGAGGACGACGCGAGGAUCGACUUUCCUCAAGGCGGGCCGAGCAUCCGGGCUCGGGAAGGCAGCCAAAACGGGCCAAACGUUCGCUGCAUACCCAUUUUUUCCAGCUGCUGCCCAUGGCGGUUUGAGGCCGAGGAAGGGUAGAUCCGGCGCCGGUUCGGGUCGGAACGGGCAGAGGAGAACCGGCGGGGCUUGGACAGGCCGGUGGGGAGGUCAACGGCGGCUCACGGCGGCGAGGAUGAGCUCCGGCAGCUCGGGACGACGGACGAUGGCUGCUGGUGCGCGAACGAAGCAAGGAUGGGAGGGGCGAAGCAGCUCGCGGGGGCUGCGACGGCGAGCGGGCGGAGGUGCGGCCGGCGACGAGCGGGCGGGCGGACGGCCAUGGCUGCUCCAGCUUCUCCUCUGCAAUUUCUGGGUUUGAAAAGCACCAACAAGAGGAAGAAGAAGCUGUUCGAACAGUAGCAAGAGGGGAGAGAGGAAGGCGGAGGACGCGCAGCCAAGGCGGAGCGACGACGGCCUGCGGCGGCGGUGAACGGCUAGCUUCCGUCGGGCUGCUGCACGCACGAGCUCCCCCCCUCCUUUCCGCCGAUUCAAGCAUGAAGAAGAUGAAGAUGGAGUCGCACGAGAGAGAGGAAGAAGAGAGGGAGGAGAGAGAAGAAGGAGAGAGAGAGAGAGAUGGGACCAUUCCCUUUUCUUUUUCUUUUUCUUUAAUCCACAAAAAUGGCCCACCACCAUGACAUCAUCCCAUGUCAUUUUCCACUCACUCAAACCCCCCCCCCACAACUUCUCCAAUGGUUGCACUUUCAUUUUCCGCCGGGGUCCAAUUCUUGUACAACCAAUUCUCCAAUUCCACUUGAUUCUCUUCCAAUUGAAUCAAAUUGAAGUCCAUAAAAUUAAUCCAAUGUCACCACACUUCAAUUCACAUAAUCACUUGACCAUAAAACCAACUUAAGUCCCAAAAGUACGACCAAAAGCGGGCCCACUAAUUUCUCGAGCCAAAUUAGCCAUUUUCUGAUUUAAUUGCUGAAAAACUCUGAUUGCAUGAAAAAUCUUCCAAAGAUAAGUCAAUGUUCCUAAAAAGAUUUGUGACACACCCAGACUUCCAAUUUCUGAAUUCGAUCUCAAUUCCACGGUUAAUUUCACUUUGGCACGAUACUAGCGCGGCCCAACCUACCGGGUAGCCUUUAGAAAUUUUCAUGCAUUUGACUUGUGUUGAUCAUCUCAAGCCACAAUGUACAUCUUUGAAACAUUGGCGACUUUCGGUUGUCGGGGUAAUCUCAAGGUUUCAAAUACGAACACAGGGUACCCAAUCGAUAGAAAAGUCGGCCCAGUGUCGAUGGACAGGGAUUAUGCGAUCUAGUGGAAUCACCCACACUCGAUCACAUGCCUCUGUCGAGUCGACCUAUCUCCGGUCUCUAAUCGAUUUUUAUUUGUGCCGUAAUGACUCUUGCAGAUUAGCUCGGUCGAAAGGUCGCUUCCUGGCCAAAUUCUCGAGUCCGAUGCAUUAUAAUUUCUUAAUGACUUCACCCAAUAGACUCGCUUUCACAUGAGUGGCCGACUCAAGGAAAAGAACUAUAUGCAUGCCAACGAAAUGCCCGUCCCAAUUUAUUGAAAAUAGAAUUGGAAAAUCGGGAUGUCACAACUCUUCCCCUCUUAUAAAAAUUUCGUCCUCGAAAUUUAAACCUUUACCAAUUCUUAAACCAAAAGGUGGGGGUACUGUCGUCUCAUAUAAUCUUCUAUUUCUUAGGUUGCUCAUUCUGCACCAAUGCUGCCAGAUCACUGCUAUCUUGUCCAAACCACUUCGAAUUCAAAAUACUAAACGCUUGCCCACUUAAAAUUCCAAAGGCCUUCAACACAAAAUCUACGAAGCUAAAUUGGCGAUUCUGAGCAGUCUCUAAACCGUCUUUGAUAAUUGCAACUGAAUCACUGAUUUCUGAAUCAACUCUGGACCUGCGAUUUUCUGAUCUCUGAUCUCAUCUCAACCGACUGAAGUUCUGAACACUCUGCCCUACACUGAUUAAAAAGAAACUAUCUGACAGAUCUACUGAAACUAGAAACCUCUGGUCAAGAUCUGAUAUAACUCUGACACUGACACUCUAUGCAAACGAAUGAUCUGAUGUACAAACACCUAUGCAUGCUUAAUCAAAUCAAGAUCCUUCAACACAGUCACAAGGUGGCUAAUUUCAUCAGUUUGUCACUUACUACCCGAAAUGAGAUUAUUAACACACAGACUCCUCGAUAGACCUGUCACAAAAAUCUAUUGUGACGUGAUCCCACUUCCUCACGGAGAUAUCGAAAGAUUACAAAGAUCCUCUCGAAUUGCAAAACCGUGCUUUCUCUUGCUAGCACAUCUGACACUUGCGACCUGUCAGUGAUAUCUAUCUUCACAACGGUCUACUAAUCCUAUUGAUGCAAAUUCGGACUCAUCUUUGCACUGUCUGGACAAUGCUGAAGCUGCUACGACAAGUUUCCGAUAAGAUCUCUUCUUUAAUCUCGGUAUCAUCAAUUACAUACAAUCGUCCUCAGAACCUUAGCGUUCUGCCUUCGGAAAUCUGAAAAUCAAUCUCUCUCUCAUCUGCAUUCUCUUAUAGAAUCUUCUAAAUUUCUGUAUCUGUCAACUGAAGCGAUUUGAUUCGGAUCUGUACUCUCCGCUCAAUUCUGAGGGUAGUCAUAAGAUUCAAAAGGUGGCAUACCUUAGAUUUAAAAACUGAAUUUCGGACUUCCUCAAGUAAGAUCCAAUCCUUGAGUGCCAACUGUACAACUAAGGACUCUCAACUCAGUGCAUCUGUAACUUUGCUCACCUUUCCAGAGUGAUACGAAAUAUCAUAGUCAUAAUCCUUAAUGAAUUCCAUCCAGCGAUGCUUUCUCAUUUUCAAGUCCUAAGGUCUUAACUGAUGGGACGCGCAUGCGAUAACCCCAUCAUGCCGUAUCAAAACACAACCCAAUCCUUGAAACGACGCAUAACUGCAGAUCUCAUAACUUCCAGGAUCAUAUGAAAUAGUCAGCAUAGGUGCGGUAGUUAGCUCUUGCUUAAGCUUUUGAAAACUACACUUGCAUUUACAUGUCCACACGAACUUUUCUUACUUCCUCGGUAGUCGAAUCAACUGCAACGCUGAUGCAGAAAACCCUUCCAUAAAACUUCUGUAAUAUCUUGCUAAUCCCCAAAACUUCUAAUCUCUGUCACUGCAGUCAAUAUCGGCCAACUGAUCACUACUUUAAUCUCGGACGAGGUCUACGGAGAUUUCUUCACCUGAAAUCACGUGACCUAGGAACGCAAUACGAGUCAUCCAAAACUCGCAUUUGCUAAGCUUAUUGUAAAAUCCAAAAGCACCCAAGGUCUGAAGUAUCAUCUUCUAAUGUCUCUCGUGCUCCUCAACACUCUUUGAACACACCAGGAUAAUUUCAAUGAACACGAUCAUAACUUAUUCAAGUGCCCUUAAACAGUCUGCUCAUUAAACCCAAACAAAUAGCUAUGGUGUCCAUUAAACCACACAGCAUUACAAUGAACUCAUAACUAUUGUAUCGAGCGCAAGAUGCUAACUUCGAUAUGUCUUUCUUCCUGAUUCUCAACUGAUGAUAUCCUGGUCUCUAGUCGAUCUUGAGGGAUAUCGACAUACAAACACAACGAACCAACUUUCUUUUUCAUGAAUAGAACGGGUGCUCCCCAAGGUGAUGCACUGGAACGUAUGAAUCCCCUAUCCAAUAAUUGCUGCAUCUACACCUUUAGUUCUUUUAAUUCGAGUAACACCAUCCAGUAAGGAGCCUUAGGGACUAGCUCUAUUCUGGGUGCUAAUUCAAUCACGACUAUAUUUCUCUUCCUGACAACAACUUGAUAAUUCUUCAGAAAAUACCUUAGAAAACUUAUGCACCACGAUUAUGAUCUCCAUAGCCGGCUCCUCAACUGACGCAUCCAUUACAGCUGCCAUGAAGAUCCAGUAACCAACAACCAGAAUCAAGUUAUCUUCAGUGACAAUUAACAAGGAUCGAAGUUCCUCUUCAACCUUCAGUAAUUCAAAACUUUUAUACGCUAACUGAACAAACCGAAUUAUGUCACUGCCACGAUUCAUAACAGCGGAAAGCUCCUCGAGCCAAACCUUUUCAUAAAUGACUUCCAAGUCAUAUAUAAGCAAACCCAUCAGGUACAAUUAUAGUCAGAGAUCUAUCUUUCUAUCACUUUAUUACCACAACAAAGAUCCUACAACCUUCAUUGAAAAUUAUGCUACACUACUCUGAUAAAAUUUCCUCAAGAACAUUUUCCCUUUGGUCGAUGCAUGGUCAGUCCAUUCUUAUUCCUUCCGCCAUCUUAGUGGCGUCCUGCCGGCGAUAGCGAUACUUGAGUCCUCUUGGACUUACACGAAUAGUCCCUAUCUCGAUGGUCGUGCUGACCACAUUCAAAGCAUGUUCUCCUUUUUACUCUGACACUAGGCUGACUCAAGCCUCUUUUCCACAAACUCGACACACUAUCAGUGAGUCCUCUACCUCUCAUCAAGUGACAUCAUGCACCCUUUCUUGCACUGGGGUCCAUUCCAAGUACCCUACUGAACAUCUUGAAGCAUGCUUCCUCUGUUCUGUCUUAUCAACGACGGUGACAGAAAUAGCUGCGACUCCAUCCUUCUAUACGGACCAUCUUUGAUCAAAUGACUGUACUGGCAACCCCUAGUAGCAAGUCCUUUCCCUUUUACAGCACAUAACAGAUCCAUAUCUUUUCCAAUAGACACGACACACAUCAAUCGGGUUGAGCACUGACUUUCUCAUUCUGCUCUUUCGGUUGGGUGAAACAAGACACCUUUCUUCCGACAUUGGCCUUUCUCCCCCAAUCGAUCUCCAUCUCUGUCUAAAUUGAACUUUGACUCAGAUACAGCGGCUUGAUCCUCGAUCACAACUCCAGAUUAGGCCUCAACAGGCACGGCAACAACAACGGUCACAACACUGGCAGCGGUAGAAACAACGGCAACAGCGGCGGCUCGGUCCUUAACUUACUGACCCAACAAGCUUCCAAGAAGCACUAGCGCCUGAACGAUCCCAUCAAAACUAGGAUCGCUCGGUAUUGUUACACUCUUAAUACCGACUUGCAGCGGUAUUCUCACACUCGCGCUGGUCUAAGCCUGCGCUCUACCUCAGGUACCGACUCCUGUCAGCAUCCUACCCCGAGGUAUAGGUCCUACCGACCUUCUCCAAGGAGUCCUCCACUCCUAGUCACUCAUCCUACAGGCUCUUUAUAGACGCCUGCUUUCCGAUUCCAACAUCAGGUUAGAAUUUGAGUGACCCCACAAACACAUUACCAAACAGCUAUCAAUCACAUGCAUCAGCAUAUUAAAAGCCUUUCCUACCAACUAUCCCAUGACUCAUCGCACCUUAUCACUCCAUACUCAAACCAUGCUCUGAUACCAAUUAAACAGGGAUGUCACGCCCCGAACCUCGAGCGCGCCAACAUCCCACCAUGGUCAUUCAAAUGCGACAUCCCAGGUUAAGUCGCCGACCCAAUCAAAUCUUUAGUGCACAUGCGGAAGCGUAUUAUAAAACCCUUGACAAUAAAAUACGGGAUAGAAAAGCAGGAAACAAUUUCAUAACCAAUCACUUACAUAAACCAACGAAGUUACAAAUGAAGGCCUACAGCCGAAAGUCUACAAAAGACCGGCUCUUAAAAAGGAAUUGUCCUACGACCUACAAGUCGGACACGUUUUCCAAUCUUAUGCCUUCACCUCUGCAACUCCUCAAGGCCAACCAAAGCUAUCUGGCCACUCCGUCCAUCAGGGACCUGAAAUUUUAAUCCCACAACCGGGAUGAGAUGAUGUCUCAGCAAGUUCAACCCCCUAAACCCCUAUUAGAAAGAAAAUACACCCCGGGUGGCCUAGCCAUGUCACUCAGAAGACUUACCUCGUCUUAAUUCCUUCCUGCAGAUUAGCACAAUUUAUAUCACACAAUCUCAGGUAGUAAUAAUAAUUCAAACAAUUGGAAAGCCAUCACUUUCAUAUAAAUCAUAAUCGCACUUAGCAUGCAUUCCAAUUAUUAUUCACUGCCACACGACGGCAUAGCCUACUCGCGGGUCGGCUAUCUACUAACAUUACGGCAUUUCUAAAAGAAUAAAGGUCCAGUCGGUCUCGCCACUACUGCGACUAAGCCACGUCGUUCUAUCGACAGCAUUUCUAGAGAAAUAAAGGUCCAGUCGGUCUCGCCACUACUGCGACCAAGCCACGUCGUUCUAUCGACAGCAUUUCUAGAAAAAUAAAGGUCCAGUCGGUCCCGCCACUACUGCGACCAAGCCACGUCAUUCUCUUGACAACAUUUUUAGAAGAAUAAGGAUCCAGUCGGCUUAGCCACUACUGCGACCCGAGCCACGUCACUCUCUUGACGGCAUUUCUAGAAGAAUAAGGAUCCAGUCGGCCUAGCCACUACUGCGACCCGAGCCACGUCACUCUCUUGACGGCAUUUCUAGAAGAAUAAGGAUCCAGUCGUCCUAGCCACUACUGCGACCCGAGUCUUUCAACCAGCACACAACAAUUCAAUAAUCAAAUGCACAAAUCAUCACUCAAUUUGUAAUAUCUAAUCAUCAAAUUCAUAAUCUGAAUACACUGCAGCGAUCAGCACAAAAUUCUGAGAAUUUAGGGUCCCAAAAUAAUUUUCGGAAUUUAUUUAAUAAUUAAGUUUAUUUCGAAAAUUAAUUAAAUAAUAAUAUCCUUAUCCUUCACAAUCCACACUCGAUUUAUAAUCUCCAAUCAUCAAUUUCAAAAUCUGACUACACAGCAGCGACAGGUACGAAAUUCUGAGCAAUCGGGGUUAAAAUUAAUUUUUUUCCGUUUUUAUUUAUUUAUAAUAAUAUUUUAAUAAUUUCGGAAUAUAAUAUAAUAUUAUAAAUUCCAGAAUUCGAAAUCAUUAAAUAAUUCAAAAAUAAAACCCCAUUAUGUCACAUCAAGGCUUUAUAUUAAAAAUAAACAUACUUAACUUUAAAUUAACCACACUUUAACUUAAUUAAACACCUUAAUCUAAUCAUCAACCAAAUAAACUAAUCUAACCACCUAAACUUACUUAACUUAGACUAAGCAUACUUAAGGCAUCAUUAACCGUCUAAUCAAGGUUUAGUGAGUUAAACUCACCGGAUUAGCGAACCGAGCGAACCAAAACGACGAGGACGACGCGAGGAUCGACUUUCCUCAAGGCGGGCCGAGCAUCCGGGCUCGGGAAGGCAGCCACAACGGGCCAAACGUCCACUGCAUACCCAUUUUUUUCCAGCUGCU